RNAcentral lists this transfer RNA (53 nucleotides) under Aegilops longissima. Its description in RNAcentral is "partial tRNA-Ser". Lineage: Eukaryota; Viridiplantae; Streptophyta; Magnoliopsida; Poales; Poaceae. The record is from RNAcentral.
GAAAACCGGUAUAGUUCUAGGAACUAUCGAGGGUUCGAAUCCCUCUCUCUCCU